This is a long non-coding RNA of Cervus elaphus (red deer), 3550 nucleotides long. RefSeq lists it as uncharacterized. The record is from RefSeq and is a predicted model, not a curated record. Lineage: Eukaryota; Metazoa; Chordata; Mammalia; Artiodactyla; Cervidae. The transcript is spliced from 3 exons.
CUUGAACUGGGAUCUGGACCCCUGGGCCCGAGGGACCCAUCACUGCGAGAUGAGUGCUCGUGGGGUGAGUGAAGGAGGGUAUCUUGUUCGUACCCAGGUACCCACUUCCACCCCCGACUGAUCUUAACGGAGGCGAAGAUUGCCGGACACUUGGAAACCCCAGGAUCGCGACCUCUGCGUCCUUCCCAUCUUUUCAGCCGAAAUGUAUUUUCCAGAACUUGAAGCUAAGCCGCAGAGAUGGAUGUUAAGUAAAGGACCCCAUAUCGACAGGCUGGCCUACAGCCAAGCUGAGAGAAGCUGAAGGAGACAGAUGGGCAGUCGACCCGGGACGGUGCGGGCAGAAGCCGCAGGCCAGCCUCGCCCCGACGACUCCUCCAGCAGAACAAAUGCGCCGGGCUUGGUGCCUGAAGUGCCGCAACAGGUGGCUGGCCAGGGCUGACUUCAUCAUUCAGGCAUCAUCGUUCCACCUUCGUCUCCCAGGCCAGGCCUCCCUGUGGGGAUGUUUUGCCAAACCCCUCCCGCUCGCCCCCAUUUGCAGAGGUUUUCUCCCGAUAUAUUUUGCCAUUCUGGGGAGGGGGUGGUGGUGGCGGGGGGUGGGGGGGGCGAGAGCUGGGGGAGGGUCUCCUCUGAGGUCAGUUGAGUAAAACUCUCGAUCUCAGUUCUCGGUGCUGGGAAAACUCAGGGAGUACUUGACAGAGCUUGAAAUCUUUCCUGGACCGCUGCUUGCACUUGAACUUGACUCUAGGUGCCGGUGCCGGGAGGAGGAGGGAAGGGAGGGGCGGUUGGGGAGAGGAGAGAGAAGGGAGGGUGGCAGGGAAAGGGGAGCAGAAAGAUGGAAAGGGAAGAUCUCGGGCAGCUUUUUGCAUCGCCUAUUGAUGACCUGAAGCUAUCAGUAUAAAUACAGAGCCUCAUACAUUAGAGGCAGGCAUAUAGGUUUAAAAAAUCGGGAUUGUUUAUACAGGUGCAGAACAAAGUCUUUCUUUGGAAAAGAUUAAUGGCAGGGAGACCGCUAGAUUUUCUCUAAACAGUCACAAAAACUGUACCCAGCUUCAACGCCAAGCGGGUCAUGGCCAGUUUCUUUUUCCAGAAGGAACUGCCUGACCCCAACGAUUCAUGUUUGUUUGUUUGUUUUUUUUUCCUUUAAACUAGCUCUUUCCUUCUUCCUGUUUUUUUCUUUCCCCUUCCUUCCUACUUUCUUUUCUUCCUUCCUUUUCAUCCUUCUUUUUCCUUCCUCCCUCUGAUCUCUUUCAAGAAAUAUAGCCAUUUCCUCUAUUUUCCCUUUAUUUUGUUUUCAUCUUCCCUUUCCCUCCAUUUCUUUCUAUUUUUAUUCUUUCACUCUUUUUUUCAAGUUGCAGACUCCUAAUGAAGAUUAAGAGAUGUAUCUUCACAUACAUUGCAUGUUAGUAUAUAACUGCAGUUUGCUUUAACAGGUUUGUAAUGACAUCUGAUACUACACUUUCAAAAUGCUUUUAGUUUUCCUUCUGUCUCAGUGAUUAGAAAAACCCCAUGAGCUGAACAGUGCUAAUAUAAUAUCUCUUUUGAAAAAUCAAUUGUUUUAAUUGUUUUGGCAAGUCCCCAUACACUGCAAAUAAAAAAUGAAAACUUUAGUUUUAUAUUUUAAAAACAAGCACACUGAAAACAAUUCCUAUUUGCCCAUGCUAAUAACCUUUGAGAUUUGUAACACAAAUAUACAGGUUUCUAUGGUAUAUAUUGAUGAUUUUGAAAUUCUUUUAAGAUGUUCUUUUUAAGUAUGCAGUGGGAGGUGGGUUAAAGUUACAUUAUCAAACAAACAUUAAAUACAUUUAAUAAUGGAUAAGACAUUAAUAAUCCCAGCUCUCCUGCUUAUUAACUGCAUGACCUUUGGCAAUUUUUUUUUGAGGCCCAGAUUACUGAUAUAUAAUAUGAAAUAUCCAUCUUGAAGAAAGUGAGAGUCUGUGAGUAAUUGCCUGGGCCACAGCCUGAUGCAUGAGAAAAAAAAUCAAUAAAUGCUAGUUAUUUGUAUUACUAUGAAUUGUGUGAUGCCCAACAUCACACAUCUAAUAAAUAUCAGUGUCCAGAACUGACCCAGGGUUUGUAAGCAAGGGCUUGUUCUGCCUGCUGUUUCAGGCAGCACCAGAGGUUUCUUUUCUUUAACUGCAGGCUUCUGUGGUUCAAGUGCAUGGUCCUAUUACCUGACAUCUCCCCCAGGCCUCAGAAAAGACCUCACUGAGGGAAACUGAUGGGACUACAUUAGAAACUUUCUUUCCCCAAGUUUUCUCCCCAUAAAGCCACAACAAUUCUCCCAGCCUCCCUUCCCCUAUUUGAAAACUGCUAAAUAAAUAAAUAUAAAUAAAACUCCUAAAUCAGUUACUGAAAGGGUUAAAUGAAAUUGUGGAGGAGCAGCACAGUGUAACACACUAAAGGUGCUUAAUUUGCUGAAAUAUAAAAAAUGCAGACUCUGAUUUUCUAAAAAGAGAGAAUGAGGUCACAGACCACAGAAAAGGCCAUUUAAUGCCACACACCCACCCCUUCCACCCCCGAGUACAUACCAAGCCCAUUUAAUGCCACAUCACUCCAAAGUAAGUGCUGGGGGAAGAAGUUUGAGGCUGGGCAGAUCAAAUGGUUUAGAGUUUAGGGAGAGUAGGGACUGUGCUAUACUCUUGGACACCAAGUCAAAGCAUGUACAAAGUAGGUGCUUAAGAAAUGGUUGUUGUGGGAAUGCAUUUCCCAUAUGACUUUCCUGGUGGCGUCUCCCCAGAUUCUCUUGAUGUUCUGGGUUUGUCCAGUUGGCUGAACAAAUUGCCUGUUCCUUUGAUCUAGCAAAACAAGAGUCUAGACCAGCACUGGCUAAAUAUUACUGAUGUUACCAGCCGCAUGAGGCUACUGAGCACUUGGAAUGUGGCUAGUCAUGUCCAGUAUUGUAAAAUACACACCAAAUAUUGAAGACAAUGUGAAGAAAAGAUGUAAAAUAAUAUUUUAAAAAUAUAUGUCAAACAAUGAGAAUGUUUUGAUAAAUUGCGUUAAAGGAAGUAUAUUAUUAAAAAACAAUUUUCCAUGACUUUCUAUUUUUAUAAUGUGGCCACUCGACAUUGGGAAUUACAGAUGUGGCUCGCAUUAUAUUUCUGUUGGAUAAUUCGGGGAUUAACGAUGCAAUUGUGCAUUGAGUGUCUAGUGUUUGCUGUGGCAGGUGUUGGUGAGCCCGACUCCCGCCCACUCGGAAGGCACAUUCUCGUGGGAAAAAGCACCGAAAUGCGGGAAGCACACAUUACAGCACGUCUGCUCUCACUAAUUCCUGUCAUCUCGCCUGCACCGCUCCACGUGUACCCGACUCCAUCUAAUAGGUCCAACCCCAGAACACGGGGAGAAACGCUUCCGGUGGGUUUGGAUUUCCGCAGCGCUUCUCACGGGGAAAAGUUACACGGAGGCGUACGUUUCCCAGGUAGUUUGGGCCACCCCACAGACAGUGGAUGCCAGGGCUCUGGAUGCCCAGUUCCUCAGUCUUUUCAAAACAUCCCUGGAUACAAAUUAUGACAUCCACGCAUGGGAGGUUCCGGGUCUGGCGGUGUGCGAG